RNAcentral lists this small nucleolar RNA (76 nucleotides) under Clostridium sp. HGF2. Its description in RNAcentral is "Small nucleolar RNA SNORD19". The record is from RNAcentral. Lineage: Bacteria; Bacillati; Bacillota; Clostridia; Eubacteriales; Clostridiaceae.
GAUGGAGGAGGAAGCAAUGUGAUCUUCUGCGUGAAUCAGUAGAAGAUUCAUAUCCAGCUCACCUUCCUGAUUAGCC